AUGCUGGGAAGUUGUUAGGGCUAUAAGAACUGAAGCAGCAAGUUAACUUAGAUCACCUGAGAAGCAGAGGAGUAGUGGAGGGCGUCAGAUGGGAUCUGAUAGCACUGAUGGCAAACUUGACUUCCAGAUGUCAGAGGAAGAAGAUUCUUUCCUAAAUGUCAAAAGAUCUCUGAAAAAGCGACUGGUGAAACACAGCACUCCAGUGGACUCAAUGCUCUCCAGAACAAUGCCGUCUCUUACAGAUCUGACUUAUCAGUCAAUCAAGGAUCAAGAUGGCAGUAAGAGAGUUAACGUAUCCCCAGUGCAAAAAUCAGCUCUAAGCAGAUCAUUAGCUCAAGUGUCGCUAGCAAGUAUUGAAGCAUACAUCCCUCAUAAGUCUCCAAAAAGGCUUUCAACAGCGUUUGACUUGCAAGAUUCAAACAAGGAGAUAAACAAAAGUUCUCGGGUUGUAUUUUCUAGAAGAAGGCUUUCCACUGUGUUGGCCUCUAAUGAGUCAAAUGAAGAACCAAGUGAAAAGGCUAUCUCAAGUGUGGAAACUCAAGCUCCAACAAAUGCAUCUGAGAAGGUUGCAGUAACUCCCAGGAGUGGACCUUCAUGGCUGGUUACUGGAAUACCAGGGAUAAAAGAUGUCCAAAUAGUAAAAAAGAAAAAGAAGAAAAUUGAUAAAUCUAUUGUGAGAAAGAAACAAAGAGAAUGGGUGCUUCGUCAACUCAAAAACAUUGAGGAAGCAGCUGAGCAUGAGCUGACAAUUGAAGAAAUGUGACCAAAUAUCUUUGGAAUUAAUGCUGUUGCAUGGUACUUGUGUGAAUAACUGGUUCCAAUAAAUCACAUGCCUGGAUAAUCUGUAGUGCUUCC
Long non-coding RNA from Anser brachyrhynchus (Pink-footed goose), 855 nucleotides. Lineage: Eukaryota; Metazoa; Chordata; Aves; Anseriformes; Anatidae. The record is from Ensembl.